AAGACCUAUUCCUAUAUUUCCGUUUUGCAGGAGGCUGAGAAGGAAUUGAUUCCAGAAAGAUACCACCACUCCUCAGUUAUGAAACCCAAGUGAGACCACAGUAUCCUGACUUCCAGCCUAGAGCUAUCUCUGAUUCAGUAAAUCUCUUCGCAGCAGCAUAUACACUGGGAACGGGAACUCUCACAGGACACACAUACUCAUGAUUGCCAAUAAUAUCUGUGGUCCUUAGCUAUAACGUACUCAACUUGAGGGUGGUGGAAGAUCUCCAUGAAUACUGAAGUUUGAAUUUUAGCUCCAGAACUUAUUUGCUGUGUGUGAACUUGGGUAAGUUUCUCUAUUUCUUUUAACCUCGAUUUCCACAUCUAUUAAGAAAUUACAAAUCACAUACAAAGAGUA
Molecule: long non-coding RNA, 396 nt
Filed under: Macaca fascicularis (crab-eating macaque)
Lineage: Eukaryota; Metazoa; Chordata; Mammalia; Primates; Cercopithecidae
Description: lncRNA (ENSMFAG00000052686.1)
Source: RNAcentral